Molecule: ribosomal RNA, 253 nt
Filed under: uncultured bacterium
Lineage: Bacteria
Description: partial 16S ribosomal RNA
Rfam family: Bacterial small subunit ribosomal RNA
Source: RNAcentral
UACGUAGGGUGCGAGCGUUGUCCGGAUUUAUUGGGCGUAAAGAGCUCGUAGGCGGUUUGUCGCGUCGGCCGUGAAAUCUCCACGCUUAACGUGGAGCGUGCGGUCGAUACGGGCAGACUUGAGUUCGGUAGGGGAGACUGGAAUUCCUGGUGUAGCGGUGAAAUGCGCAGAUAUCAGGAGGAACACCGGUGGCUAAGGCGGGUCUCUGGGCCGAUACUGACGCUGAGGAGCGAAAGCGUGGGGAGCGAACAGG